AUGAAUCCCAUCUGGGGGGAAAUCUGGGGGGAUCCUAUGUGGUGUAAAGCAAGUUCUCAGGAUAUUGUUUCCUGUUGUAAAGGUAAAUAUGUCCUUCAGCUAAUUCUGAAUGACAAGAAGAGGAAAGUUAGUUGGGGGCUGUUGGUGGUUUAUGGGUCGGCCCAUGAGGAAUAUAAAGAAGACUUUCUAGUAGAACUUGCUACUAUGUGCAGCAAUAUGAGCGUGCCUUAUAUAGUGGGUGGGGACUUUAAUAUCAUUAGGCAUGGUGGUGAGAAGAAUAAAAAGAUGUACAACUCUAGAUCUUCUGACCUCUUUAAUUUCAUUAUUAUUGCCGUGGGUUUACGGGAGAUUCAGACGAGUGGGGGGAAAUAUCUGGACAAACAACCAGGCACACCCCACUCUGGAGAAGUUAGACCGCGUACUUAU
This 426-nucleotide ribosomal RNA is filed under the name Triticum aestivum (bread wheat). RNAcentral's name for it is "partial small subunit ribosomal RNA". The record is from RNAcentral. Lineage: Eukaryota; Viridiplantae; Streptophyta; Magnoliopsida; Poales; Poaceae.